RNAcentral lists this transfer RNA (73 nucleotides) under Bos taurus (domestic cattle). It matches the Rfam family "tRNA". From Rfam's summary of the family: Transfer RNA (tRNA) molecules are approximately 80 nucleotides in length. Their secondary structure includes four short double-helical elements and three loops (D, anti-codon, and T loops). Further hydrogen bonds mediate the characteristic L-shaped molecular structure. tRNAs have two regions of fundamental functional importance: the anti-codon, which is responsible for specific mRNA codon recognition, and the 3' end, to which the tRNAs corresponding amino acid is attached (by aminoacyl-tRNA synthetases). tRNAs cope with the degeneracy of the genetic code in two manners: having more than one tRNA (with a specific anti-codon) for a particular amino acid; and 'wobble' base-pairing, i.e. permitting non-standard base-pairing at the 3rd anti-codon position. The record is from Rfam by way of RNAcentral. Lineage: Eukaryota; Metazoa; Chordata; Mammalia; Artiodactyla; Bovidae. RNAcentral also lists the same sequence under 3 other names.
UUCCUGGUGGCUCAGAUGGUAAAGAAUCUGCCUACCACGCAGGAGAUCCAGGUUCAAUCUCUGGGUCAGGGAA